Girardinichthys multiradiatus is the source of this 1461-nucleotide long non-coding RNA. RefSeq lists it as uncharacterized. The record is from RefSeq and is a predicted model, not a curated record. The transcript has 4 exons. Lineage: Eukaryota; Metazoa; Chordata; Actinopteri; Cyprinodontiformes; Goodeidae.
ACCACAUGUUUUCCUUCCAAUUAACUUCCCAUUAGUAUGCUUGGAUACAGUUCUCCGUAAACAACCAACUUCUUUAGUAGGGACCUUUUGUGGCUUAGCCUCCUUGGGGAGGGUGUCCACGACUGUCUGGAGGACAACUGUCUUCUUCAUGAUUGUGCUGAAGAUAACAUAACGUAAAGGUUCUUUUUCACCAGUCUUAGGUAGCCUAAUAGGAACUGGGUUUUAUAAGCUGUGAGCCGUCAUUGUCAAAGUUUUAAUUUUAAAUAGAAUCACUGACAUAAAACUAUUUUUCGAUGCACUUGUAAAUGGUGCAAACGACAUGGGAUCAUCAUUGUAUUUUACUCGCUGAUCAAACAGUUUCUUUUUUUUUUUUUUUUCCAGCAGAAAUAAAAUGAGUCAAAGACAAAGUUGAUCAAAACCACUUUAAAAGAAAAAGAAACUGCUUGGAAGGAAAAUAUUUAAAAAAUGAGGGAUGCAAAACAGAAUCUAGUCGGACCUGUUAAAAUCAACUGCUCUGUUGUAUUUUAUCCUCCACUAGAUGGCGCUAAAGGACCAGUGUCAAGCAAAUAGAGGAGAACUCAUGACUGUCACUAAGAGACACAGAACAUAUUAAUACACAGGACUGACAGCAGAUCAAGCAACUGUCAUCUUAAUAAUAAUGUGGAAUAAAUAACUUUGCUCUCUGUCUGUAGAAGACUGAGGUUUUCCUCCCUGUUUACAGCCUCUGAAGGCUGCAUCUGGCUGAGCUGGUUAACGGAGGGGGAGGAUAAUGGAGGAGGGCGGACCACUGAAGCACCAAAUGUCAGAGUGAACAACACAACUGGUUUCUGAUCUAGAAGGGACCUAAAAGGCUUCUUCACAGCUUUUUGGCAUCUGGACAAAUUGUGAAGCUGCAAAGCUUGGGAAAGGUCAGGGUGGGGGAAAGCCACCCUUGGGCCUCUGAAGAUGGAGUGAUAUUUCAUGUGAAGAAAUCAAAACAAGGCCUCUAAAUGGAUCCAGUGGGGAACGAAGACCCAGCUGCACCACUGACAUGAGGAGAAGAGGAGAAAGAGAACAGAAAAGGAAGGGGCUCGCUCAGCGAUGAGAGUCGGACAAGGAUCAGGAAGUGAUUAAAUGGCAAAGUGGAAAAGCAAAGGAAAUGAGCAUCUGCAUUAGUUUCUACUUGCUUUCCUAAUGGAGUUAAAGAGAUCUUCAAUCAACAAGCCAUCUGUUGUUCGCCAUCUAACUGAGAUCACAACUGCCGCUCACUGGACAAUUUCUCUCUUCCGGCCCAUUCUCUGUAGGGAUGGUUUGACAUGAAAUUCUCAGAAGAUCAUCGGUUUCUAAGAUACUCUGACCAGACCGUGCAACAUCAACAGCCACGCCACGUUUAAAGUCACUUAAAUCCCCUUUCCUUCUCGUUCUGAUGCUCAGCUUCGGUUUAGCAAGCAAUCGAACAGGUAAACCUAAAAUGCACCUAAA